Molecule: ribosomal RNA, 292 nt
Filed under: uncultured bacterium
Lineage: Bacteria
Description: partial 16S ribosomal RNA
Rfam family: Bacterial small subunit ribosomal RNA
Source: RNAcentral
GUGCCAGCCGCCGCGGUAAAACGUAGGAACCGAGCGUUAUCCGGAUUCACUGGGUGUAAAGCGCGUGCAGGUGGCUUCGUAAGUUGGACGUGAAAUCUCCUGGCUUAACUGGGAGAGGCCGUUCAAUACUGCGGGGCUUGAGGGCAGGAGAGGGAGGUGGAAUUCCCGGUGUAGUGGUGAAAUGCGUAGAUAUCGGGAGGAACACCAGUGGCGAAGGCGGCCUCCUGGCCUGCUCCUGACACUGAGACGCGAAAGCUAGGGGAGCGAACGGGAUUAGAAACCCUGGUAGUCC